Molecule: long non-coding RNA, 1003 nt
Filed under: Homo sapiens (human)
Lineage: Eukaryota; Metazoa; Chordata; Mammalia; Primates; Hominidae
Description: HSALNT0108327
Source: RNAcentral
UGAAAGCUUCUGAGUGAGGGAAGGAUGCAGAGUGGUCCUUUAGGAAGAGGAAUCUGGGGAUGGCAGUGUGAAAGCAGAGCAGGGAUCACUAUGUGGCGAGUGCCUUCUGUUCUAUAUAUGCAGGACAUGGCAAGGAUGUGAAUAGGGAUGGCGCAGUGGGAUGGAAACUGGAGGAAGGUGGCUGAGAGGAAGAAAAAGCAAGCAGGUGUGAAGGCAAGAAAGCGGUAAUAGUUUAUGGCACGAUCUGCUUAACUAACAUUAACUUAACGAAUAUUGCUUAACUAAUAUUAAAUGCUUAACUAAUAUUGAUUCUCUUUCUUUUUCCAUGCUAACUGAACAUUCCGAUUCUGUUGAGGGUCACAGUGAUUUCAGUCAAAAAUACUUUUCAUAUUCCCUUGCCUGUAGGAGUGCCAUGUGGUCCAGUUUAUCCAAUGAGAUGUAAGCAGAAAUCUAAUGGGAAAUGGUUAUUUUCCUGAUUAAAAGACGACAGUCUCUGCUAGCAUCUCCCUUUUGUCUUUUCCCCCCACCCACUUCCUUUAACAUCGGAAACGGACAUAGACAUGAUGUCUAGAGUUGUAGCAAUCAUCUUGUAAACAAGGGGAUGAAUGCCACCUACAGGGAAAGGUAGAAACAGACAGAAUCUUCAUAACAUUGUACAGCUAUCUCUGAACUUCAUUUUACAUGACAGGAAAAUAAAAUAUUUAGUUAAACCAGUGUGGUUGGAUUUCUUCUACAAUCCUAAUUGAAACAGAGUAAAAGGUCACUCUAAGAGUUUAAGCCCUAACAAAUUAGGAAAUAAUGCCUUGUUAAUUCUCAAUCCAGGGUAAUCGGAUAAGAACCAGAAGAGGGCUCUACUCCAGCAAGGGAAAUCUUCCUAAAAUAGGGGCAUUGCCGCUUGGAAUUGGAGCCAGGGCACCGUGAGUCAUUAGACAUGUUCUCAUUCAGGUUGUAUAAGCGCCUAAAUGUGCUUUGCAUUCUGACAGGUCAGGUCUAUCACUCUCCC